RNAcentral lists this long non-coding RNA (441 nucleotides) under Crocodylus porosus (Australian saltwater crocodile). RNAcentral's name for it is "lncRNA (ENSCPRG00005007714.1)". The record is from RNAcentral. Lineage: Eukaryota; Metazoa; Chordata; Crocodylia; Crocodylidae.
CGCAACUGGGGAACUCACUUGUCUUGAGUGGCUCUUUCCUUUCAGUGGAAGGGUCCCUUAUGUCCCUUCCCUACUUAAAUGCAUGUAGGCCCUCAGAAACACUUCUCCAAGGUUUAACUCCAAGACUGCGAUGAAAGACGUUUGCUUCGUCCCCGAUCUCCGUCAUUCAAGCUGGAAGGGGAAAGGAAAAGGGGAGAAGCAGAGGGAGCCACAUCUGGAACCUAGUCCAUGGGUCCUGGACAGGCGGCUGAGGGAGGUAGGAAUAUCCCGGUGUUGGAAGAAUGGGGAACUGAAGAAGAGACACGUCAUAACGCCACAGACACACAUAACACCAAGAGUUCAGAAGUCAACUGAAUUUAUACCAUUUGUAAGAGAAGAUCAAAGAGUUGCCUAAGAAGGGGAGCCCAGCUGUUCCCUGCAUGCAUCUGGAGUACAGACAGC